Molecule: transfer RNA, 87 nt
Filed under: Candidatus Cloacimonadota bacterium
Lineage: Bacteria; Pseudomonadati; Candidatus Cloacimonadota
Description: tRNA-Leu
Rfam family: tRNA
About the family: Transfer RNA (tRNA) molecules are approximately 80 nucleotides in length. Their secondary structure includes four short double-helical elements and three loops (D, anti-codon, and T loops).
Source: RNAcentral
GCGAAAGUGGCGGAAUUGGCAGACGCGCUGGACUUAGAAUCCAGUGGGAUCACUCCUGUAGGGGUUCGAGUCCCCUCUUUCGCACCA